This 92-nucleotide transfer RNA is filed under the name Bemisia tabaci complex sp. Asia I. RNAcentral's name for it is "tRNA-Cys". Lineage: Eukaryota; Metazoa; Arthropoda; Insecta; Hemiptera; Aleyrodidae. The record is from RNAcentral.
UUAUUAAUAGUUAAAAUAUAACACUAAAAUGCAAUUUUAGAAUUGACUUAUCCAAUCUUGAUAAAUAAAGUGCCUGAUGAAAGGGUUAAAUU